GUUAAGUAGGGUCUGGCCUGGAAUACUCUUCUAGAUGAAAAUAGCCCAACCAUGAGCCACCUUCUCAGCAGAUGAGAUGAAAUUAAAGCUCUUCACCUCCUCAAGGCCCAGAGACUAUCACAAAAGAGGUGGUCUUGAAUGCAAGUUUCUGAUAACUUUGGAGAUUGUGACAUCAGAGUAGAGGAAAAAAAUUCAGAACUCAUGGAGAGUUGAAAUGUUCAUGAAUAUUAAACAGAACAAGGAUUAAGUGCAUGCAUUGAACUAUUAGAAGACUGAAGUAAUCUUUUUUUCUUUUUUUGAGUCGAGGUCUCACUCGGUCCCCCAGGCUGGAGUCCAGUGGUGUGAUCUCAGAUGAAUUACAGAUGCACGCCACCAAGCCUGGCUAAUUUUUGUAUUUUUAGU
RNAcentral lists this long non-coding RNA (402 nucleotides) under Pongo abelii (Sumatran orangutan). Its description in RNAcentral is "lincRNA". The record is from RNAcentral. Lineage: Eukaryota; Metazoa; Chordata; Mammalia; Primates; Hominidae.